CCUACGGGAGGCAGCAGUGAGGAAUAUUGGUCAAUGGGCGGGAGCCUGAACCAGCCAAGUAGCGUGAAGGAUGACUGCCCUACGGGUUGUAAACUGCUUUUGUAAGGGAAUAAAAUGCUCCACGUGUGGAGUUUUGUAUGUACCAUAUGAAUAAGGAUCGGCUAACUCCGUGCCAGCAGCCGCGGUAAUACGGAGGGUCCGAGCGUUAUCCGGAUUUCUUGGGUUUAAAGGGAGCGUAGGUGGGUCGUUAAGUCAGUUGUGAAAGUUUGCGGCUCAACCGUAAAAUUGCAGUUGAAACUGGAAGCCUUGAGUACAGUAGAGGUAGGCGGAAGUCGUGGUGUAGCGGUGAAAUGCUUAGAGAUCACGAAGAACUCCGAUUGCGAAGGCAGCCUACUGGACUGCGACUGACAUUGAGGCUCGAAGGUGUGGGUAUCAAACAGGAUUAGAUACCCCUGUAGUC
Molecule: ribosomal RNA, 460 nt
Filed under: uncultured bacterium
Lineage: Bacteria
Description: partial 16S ribosomal RNA
Rfam family: Bacterial small subunit ribosomal RNA
Source: RNAcentral